AUCAAGAGAAGUUUUGCCUACCAUAGAGACUGCAAUUGUUGAUGACAAGCUUGGAUUCCCAUGGUUCAUUGCCAUAGACAAACUAUUUAACGAAAGAAUUGAUUGCCUAAAGAAGUUAAACAAGCUUGGUGUCUUCUGAUACUGUUACCAAGAACUGUGAAAGCUGUUAUGGAAAUUGGAGAUGAAAUUUUGCUCUGAGACUCCUACACUUUUGAUAGUUUGGCUUUCUCAAUUCCUUAAUUACUCAGAUUUAUUCAAAACAUAUAUGUAGAAUUUCAAAACCCAUAUACUACAAUAUAAUAACCUAAUUUCUUCUUCGAUUAAAACACAAUAUAGAUAAUUUAUCCAGAAAUCUCACACCCGAACGAAGCAACACAACAGUAAAUCUCAAAUCAACACUACUACAGCACCAUCGAAGCCCCUUGGAUUGCAUGUGCUGCUAGACCUAUUGUAGAGAGAAAGAGAACUGAAGACUAGACGGUCUGAUGAAUAACGGAGAAGAAGAAGAAGACUUGAAA
RNAcentral lists this unclassified non-coding RNA (518 nucleotides) under Hevea brasiliensis (rubber tree). Lineage: Eukaryota; Viridiplantae; Streptophyta; Magnoliopsida; Malpighiales; Euphorbiaceae. The record is from RNAcentral.